Molecule: non-coding RNA, 386 nt
Organism: Pelobates cultripes (western spadefoot toad)
Lineage: Eukaryota; Metazoa; Chordata; Amphibia; Anura; Pelobatidae
Source: the annotation of a GenBank genome assembly
AAAUCUUCCCAUUGGGAAUCCGGUUAUUUUCUGUGGAAUUAUUUUUUUUGUUUCCUUUUCUACUCUAGUAUGUAAAUUAAACGAUCACUCUAAGCACAAGCGGUAUCAGUAAUCCUCCAGAUUCUAUACAUCGAUUAGAAAGACCUUCAAAUUAUAACUCCUGUGGUUAUCUGGCCACCUAUUGCAUUAACCCCUUAAGGACCAAACUUCUGGAAUAAAAGGGAAUCAUGACAUGUCACACAUGUCAUGUGUCCUUAAGGGGUUAAAGGAAGUUAUAAGCCAUCAAUAAAUGGGUGGCAGGGUUUCAGAUCCCUGGUGUAACUGGGACAGCUUUGCAAAAUGUACUGUUUGUAAUUGUAAGUCCAUCUGUAAAGAUUUUAGAAACU